ACAGGAAGAUUUCGAUGGCGUGUUGGUAAAGCUUAAAUUAGUUCAAAGGAAAGACGACGCGAUAAAAAGCUUAGUUGAAAUAGUAGAGCAAGAAGGCCACGAAGAAUACGUGGUAAAGAACAACUUGUAUAGGCAGAAGGAGGGUGAGGUGCUUAUCGUAGUUCCUAAGUUAGUGCAGGAAGGUAUAAUUCGGCAGACUCACGAGAAAGGUCAUUUUUCGGCCGAUAAAACCAAAAAGAUUAUUCAAGAUAUUUUUAGUAAAUUUGUGCAAUUAUAUCCAGUAAAGUUAAUUGAUACGCAUGAAAUUUUAAAUCAAUUGUAAAAAUAAUCAAAUAUAUUUGAAAACCCGCCUAAGAUCGUAUCUGCACGUACAUUGAAGAAGCACUGCAAUAAUGAAGGCAUCAAGUACCAGCGCUGAAGCUAGAGAACUGGUAGAAGUAUGUUGAUUUUAUACAAAAAAAUACUAAAGUACUCUCGGUCGAAGUACAGGGUAUUCACAGUACAGUAUUUCGUUUAGCACCUGUAUGAGAUUGAAAAACGAAUCACAGUUGAGAGAUAUCAUAAAGUAAGAAAUUAUAGCAUUUUUUCAAGAACAUCGAGAUCCUUUAUGAGAGCAAGCUAAAGAAUCAAUCUUCAGGAUUCAGGAAAAUAAAAGGAAUUUAAAAA
Vespula pensylvanica (western yellowjacket) is the source of this 666-nucleotide long non-coding RNA. RefSeq lists it as uncharacterized. Lineage: Eukaryota; Metazoa; Arthropoda; Insecta; Hymenoptera; Vespidae. The record is from RefSeq and is a predicted model, not a curated record. The transcript has 3 exons.